This 1355-nucleotide ribosomal RNA is filed under the name uncultured bacterium. RNAcentral's name for it is "bacterial SSU rRNA". It matches the Rfam family "Bacterial small subunit ribosomal RNA", at positions 28 to 1381 of the family's 1533-position model. The record is from RNAcentral.
GAUGAACGCUAGCGACAGGCUUAACACAUGCAAGUCGAGGGGCAGCACAGGUAGCAAUACCGGGUGGCGACCGGCGCACGGGUGAGUAACGCGUAUGCAACUUACCUAUCAGAGGGGGAUAACCCGGCGAAAGUCGGACUAAUACCGCAUGAAGCAGGGGCCCCGCAUGGGGAUAUUUGCUAAAGAUUCAUCGCUGAUAGAUAGGCAUGCGUUCCAUUAGGCAGUUGGCGGGGUAACGGCCCACCAAACCGACGAUGGAUAGGGGUUCUGAGAGGAAGGUCCCCCACAUUGGUACUGAGACACGGACCAAACUCCUACGGGAGGCAGCAGUGAGGAAUAUUGGUCAAUGGCCGAGAGGCUGAACCAGCCAAGUCGCGUGAGGGAUGAAGGUUCUAUGGAUCGUAAACCUCUUUUAUAAGGGAAUAAAGUGCGGGACGUGUCCCGUUUUGUAUGUACCUUAUGAAUAAGGAUCGGCUAACUCCGUGCCAGCAGCCGCGGUAAUACGGAGGAUCCGAGCGUUAUCCGGAUUUAUUGGGUUUAAAGGGUGCGUAGGCGGCCUUUUAAGUCAGCGGUGAAAGUCUGUGGCUCAACCAUAGAAUUGCCGUUGAAACUGGGGGGCUUGAGUAUGUUUGAGGCAGGCGGAAUGCGUGGUGUAGCGGUGAAAUGCAUAGAUAUCACGCAGAACCCCGAUUGCGAAGGCAGCCUGCCAAGCCAUGACUGACGCUGAUGCACGAAAGCGUGGGGAUCAAACAGGAUUAGAUACCCUGGUAGUCCACGCAGUAAACGAUGAUCACUAGCUGUUUGCGAUACACUGUAAGCGGCACAGCGAAAGCGUUAAGUGAUCCACCUGGGGAGUACGCCGGCAACGGUGAAACUCAAAGGAAUUGACGGGGGCCCGCACAAGCGGAGGAACAUGUGGUUUAAUUCGAUGAUACGCGAGGAACCUUACCCGGGUUUGAACGCAUUCGGACCGAGGUGGAAACACCUUUUCUAGCAAUAGCCGUUUGCGAGGUGCUGCAUGGUUGUCGUCAGCUCGUGCCGUGAGGUGUCGGCUUAAGUGCCAUAACGAGCGCAACCCUUGCCACUAGUUACUAACAGGUAAAGCUGAGGACUCUGGUGGGACUGCCAGCGUAAGCUGCGAGGAAGGCGGGGAUGACGUCAAAUCAGCACGGCCCUUACAUCCGGGGCGACACACGUGUUACAAUGGCGUGGACAAAGGGAGGCCACCUGGUGACAGGGAGCGAAUCCCCAAACCACGUCUCAGUUCGGAUCGGAGUCUGCAACCCGACUCCGUGAAGCUGGAUUCGCUAGUAAUCGCGCAUCAGCCAUGGCGCGGUGAAUACGUUCCCGGGCCU